AGACAAGCUGAUACAAGCCUGUCAGUGGAUGGCUCGGUUCGAGUGCCGAUGAAGGGCGUGCCAAGCUGCGAUAAGCUCCGGGUAGGCGCAAGGAGCCUAUGAUCCGGAGAUUCCCUAAUGGGACCUCCUGCUUCUUUUUUAAGAAGCGAUCCGUAAGGAUUGGGAACCCCCCGAAUUGAAACAUCUCAGUAGGGGGAGGAAGAGAAAUCAAACGAGAUGUCGUUAGUAAAAGCGAUCGAAAGCGACAGAGUUCAAACCGAAUCCCUUCGGGGACAUGUGGUGUUGUGAGCCUUCCGUUUACCCAAACAUCAUAAGCGGAAAUAUUUCUGGAACGGUUUGCCACAGAGGGUGAUAGCCCCGUACGCAUACCGAUGUUUGGCGAGGAAGUGUCUCGAGUAGUGCGGGUUGGAAUUCUCGCAUGAACCUGGGGGUCAUCAACCUCCAAAACUAAAUACUCCUCGAAACCGAUAGCGAAAUAGUAGCGUGAGCGAAAGCUGAAAAGUAACCCUGGAAAGGUGGUUAAAAGUGCCUGAAACUGAUAGGUGAUAGUGUGUUAUGGCAUAAAAGGAUCUUUACAUCGAAAGAACCCGUCGCGAGGCGGUAGUAUGGGAUGUAUUGCCGGUGUCAUAACUUACGUUUGGAAGAACGGGCCAGAGAGUUUAUUCUGUUGGCGAGGUUAACCGGUAAGGGAAGCCGAAGCGAAAGCGACAAGUCCGUAGGUUUCGGCCAUGGGACGACGUAUUAAUAGUGCGUGUAGUCGACAGGAUAAGACCCGAAGCCCAGUGAUCUAUGCGUGGGCAGGCUGAAGGGUGACGAAAGUUGCGUGGAGGGCCGAAGCGGUAUUGAUAUGCAAAUCAUUCGUGUGACCUGCGUAUAGGGGUGAAAGGCCAAUCGAACUGGGCAUCAGCUGGUUCCUCUCGAAACAUGCCGUAGCAUGACCUGGCUGGAGAUAGACGGUGAGGUAGAGCACUGACUGGAGGAGUUGGGGGAGAAAUUCCUCACCUUCCUGUCAAACUCCGAAUUCCCCGUCGUCGAAGAAGGCUGGAAGUCCGCACUACGGGGUAAGCUUGUAGUGCGUAAGGGAAAGAACCCAGACUGUGGUUAAUGUCCCUCAGUGUAGGUUAAGUGUCAAUACUAAAAGAUGUCCUAGGCCAAAGACAACUGGAAGGUGAGCUUAGAAGCAGCUACCCUUUAAAAAGUGCGUAACAGCUUACCAGUCGAGGUUUAGGGCGCUGAAAAUGGACGGGGCUAAAACCUACCACAGAUACCACAGACCACCGCAAGGUGAUGGCGUAGAGAGGCGCUCUGCAUGGGUGGAAGCAGGGGUGUAAGCUCCUGUGGACCGUGUAGAAUUGAGAAUUCUGGCACUAGUAGAAGCAUAGUUAGGUGAGAAUCCUAACCGCCGAAGGGGCUAGGUUUCCUCGGCAAUGUUCGUCAGCCGAGGGUUAGUCGGUCCUAAGUUGUACCGUAAUUCGAGUACAGCGAAAGGGAAACAGGUUAAUAUUCCUGUACCAUCUGAUUGUAGUUAACUUCGGUUAACCCUGACGUUUCUGGAUAUGUUUUGCAGGGCUGUCGCCCUGUCUAAUCGUAUAAGCUCUUGGAGAACCGUAAUGGUGAGAAUUGAGUGAAAGCGUGAUGGAGAAAUAAAGCAAACUCCUGGAACCCGUGAAAAGGGAAUCAGAUGUCCGUACCGAGAUCUGACACAGGUGCCCCUAGCUGAGAAGGCUAAGGCGUGUCGGUUUAAUUGUGUUUAGGGAAUUCGGCAAAAUGGCCCCGUAACUUUGGAAGAAGGGGUGCCUGCCCGGUGAUCGGGCAGGUCGCAGUGACCAGGGGGCUCCGACUGUCUAAUAACAACAUAGCAGACUGCAACUCCGUAAGGACUAGUAUAGUCUGUGAUUCCUGCCCAGUGCAGGUAUCUGAAAACCGGGUUCAACCGGACGAAGGACCUGUAAACGGCGGGGGUAACUAUGACCCUCUUAAGGUAGCGUAGUACCUUGUCGCUUAAUUGGCGACUUGCAUGAAUGGAUUAACGAGAGCCCUACUGUCCCAAACACAAGUCCGUUGAACAUUUUAUCCUGGUGCAAAGGCCAGUGACUCCAAAUGGGAAGUGAAGACCCCGUGGAGCUUUACUGCAGCCUGUCGUUGUGUUACGGUAUUCAUUGCGCAGUGUAGAUGGGAGAUGUCGAUCCAACCCUCGUGGGGGUUGGUUAGUCACCAAUGAGACACCAUCCUUUGAUUACUGUAACACUAACUCCUUGUGAGGACAUCGGUAGGUAGGCAGUUUGGGUGGGGCGCCACACCCUCGAAAAGGUAUCAAGGGUGCCCCAAGGUCAACUCAUGUGAGUCAGAAACUCACAGAAGAGUGUCAAGAGCAAAAGUUGGCCUGACGUGAACACGCAAAGCAAGUGUUCACGAGAGGAAACUCGGGUCUAACGAACCAAUACGCGCUUUUGAUGAGUGCUAUUGACGACAGAAAAGCUACCCCGGGGAUAAUUGAGUCGUCGCCGGCAAGAGCACAUAUCGACCCGGCGGCUUGCUACCUCGAUGUCGGUUCUUUCCAUCCUGGCUGUGCAGCAGCAGCCAAGGGUGAGGUUGUUCGCCUAUUAAAGGGGAUCGUGAGCUGGGUUUAGACCGUCGUGAGACAGGUCGGUUACUAUCUAUUUGGAGUGUUAGAGGUCUGAGGGUAAGACGGAAAUAGUACGAGAGGAACUUUCCGUCGUCGCCACUGGUAUAUCGGUUGUCCGACAGGGCAGUGCCGAGUGGCUACGCGAUAAUGGAUAAAAGCUGAAAGCAUCUAAGCUUGAAACCAGACCUGAAAAGAGACCUCGUUUGAGGGCACGGAUAAAAGAUCCGUUUGAUAGGCUCGGGAUGUACGCACGAAGGUAACGACGUGUUCAGUCCACGAGUACUAACGCCCAAAUCAGCUAACAC
Molecule: ribosomal RNA, 2931 nt
Filed under: Methanogenium marinum
Lineage: Archaea; Methanobacteriati; Methanobacteriota; Methanomicrobia; Methanomicrobiales; Methanomicrobiaceae
Description: Archaeal large subunit ribosomal RNA
Rfam family: Archaeal large subunit ribosomal RNA
Source: Rfam by way of RNAcentral